GCCCCGCCCUCGCCGGGCGCCCGCGUGGCGGGAACUCAGGAACGCGCCGCCGUCCCGCUGCUUCUCAGGGCUGAGCCAGGGACGCUUUGUCUUCGCGUCUGAAUGACGGAUUGACGGCCGUUUGCAGCGGCUCUGAAGCGAGUGCGGACGGUCUUAGGACGGUUUCCCUGACGGAUGCGCUUCCGGGGGAGAACCAGGAGAGACACACAACAUCGCCUGGGGCCACCUGCCCGAAGGUGCCCGGGAACACCCACGAAAACACAGAAACCUGGGCUUCGUUAUGCAGGAGUUUUGUUCCUGAAGAUGGCAUUGCUUGCGACCUCCCUCCCCACCCCACUCCUUUCUCCGGGAACAUGAACGUCUCUGGAUUUCUCAAUCUCUGAAUUUGCCAACACCACGAAAAUUCACACCCGAUGCUUUGCAAGAGCUGCUAUUUAUAGGAGCGCUGGGUUUCAGUGGCUUCUCUCCAGAGUUGCAAAGUCACUCUCUAAUGCAGCUGUUUCAUCAGGCACCGCCCCGUGUCCUGGGCAUCUGGUCUUUUUACAUUCCUUUGGGUGCACCCAUAAUAUUCUACUGGGGGCCGGAAGAGAGAAUUUUGGGCUCCAAUUUAGCUUCAUCAUGCAGAAUCGACCUUCCUUUUACAAACUCAUCCAGCCAUCCACUCACUGUUUGUGUGAACUCAGCAAGUUACUGAACCCCCCAGGCUCAGUUUCCCCAUUUGUAAGAUGGGGCCGAGCAGCCCUUAUGACGAGUCCGGGGAAUUGUGAAGUCCCCGGUGCAUGAAUGUCACCGCGAAUGUUGGCUGUAUGAUCACCAGUCACUCAGCAGCACUUGUGUGCACCUGCAUGGGGGCCCCGGGCCCACCAGACUCGGAGGUGACCAAUCUCAGUGCUGGUGAGAAGGGCUAUGACAGGGGCCCUCCAGGGCACUGGCCCUGAGCCCACAUCCCAGGCAGCAGUUAAAGCUGCCAAGGAGAGUGAAAAAAGCCACCCAGGAGCAACCCAGGGCUGGGUCUUGAUGGGAUGAAUAGGAGUUUUCCAGGUAGAAGGUGGGGGAGAGGGACUCGUAUGCAGUGGAGUCAGGAGUCAUUCUCAGGGACAGGUGGAGUGCAGUGGUCUCUAGGAAGAGACAGGUGCCUCAUACCACAUAGAACAAUUAGUUUAAAGUGGGUUAAAGACCUAGAUGUAGAAAUUCAAACUAUAAAUCACUGAGAAGACAUGGGGUGAAUCUUUUUGAGCUUGGUUUACUUAGAUAUGACCCAAAAAGCACAGAAACAAAAGAAAAAGAUAGAUAAACUGAAUUCCUCAAAAUCAACAAAUUUUGUGCUUCAAAGGACACCAUCAAGAAAACCAAAAAACAAUCUGCAAAAUGGGAGAACAUAUUUGCAAAUCACUUGUCUAUAAGAGACUUGUAUCUGGCAUAUAUAAAGGGGGUUAUAUUACACAAAGAACAAUUGCAACUUGACAACGAAAAGACAAGCAGCUCAAUUAAAAAAUGGCAAAGGGGCCAGGCGCAGCGGCUCACGCCUGCAAUCCCAGCACUUUGGGAGGCUGAGGCGGGCGAAUCAUGAGGUCAGGAGAUCGAGACCAUCCUGGCUAACACGGUGAAACCCUGUCUCUACUAAAAAUACAAAAAAAAUUAGCCACACAUGGUGGCGGGCGCCUGUAGUCCCAGCUAUUUGGGAGGCUGAGGCAGGAGAAUGGCGUGAACCCGGGAGGCGGAGCUUGCAGUGAGCUGAGAUCGCACCACUGCACUCCAGCCUGGGUGACAGUGUGAGACUCUGUCAAAAAAAAAGCAAAGGAUAUGAGUAGACAUUUCUCCAAGCUGAUGCACAAAUGACUGAUCAACACAAAAACAUGCUCCACAUAAGUAGCCCUCAGGGAAAUGCACCCACUAGGGUGGCUACAAUCUCUAUUAAUAAUUUUGUUUAACUGGAAAACAGCAAGUGUUGGUGGGGAUGUGGAGAAAUUGGAAACUUCAUUCAUCGCUGGAGGGAAUGUAACAUGGUGCGGACACCGUGGAAAACAGUCGGGCAGUUGUUCCAAACGUUACACAGAGUUGUCACAUGACCCAGCAAUUCUGCUCCCACAUAUAUGCCCAAGAGAACUGAAAGUGUGUCCACAUUAAAAACCUGUCCACAAAUGUUCAUAGCAGCAUUAUUAAUAAUACCCCGAUGUGAAAUUAACCUACAUGUCCAUCAACUGAUGAAACAUGGGCUGCAUCCAUCCAACGGAAUAUUAUCCGGCCAUAAAAAGGAAUGACAUCGAGUUGAAGGCAGGGUCUUGAGGAGAUAUUUGCACACCCAUGUUGCAUGUUCAUUGCAGCAUCAUUCAUGAGAACUGAGAGGUGGAGGAACCCUGUGCGCUGAAAUUGGGGCUGGCCGAGCCAGGUAGGAGGUGGACAGGCUCCCUGGCGGCUCUCCAGGGACGUCCUUCAGGGACAGCUUCGAGGACGUCCCAUGAGCAGUGCCCAUGUGGUCAAGGGCUUCAGUACCCGGCAGCAGCUCUCAGCCACCUUGACCAUGAGCAAGGAGAGGACAUAUCUGGUGCCUCAAAAGAACAUCUUUGCCUAAAGCUCAUCUGGGAGAGAGAGCAAGCAGACUGCAAAUUUCUGAAACUGCUUGAACCAAGUGCAUGAAUUUGGUGCAUCCUGAAGUCCCUCUGCCCAGAGAGGGCUGCUAGUCUGUGCAUGGCAGGAUGGACCGCUGCUCUGAGUCACCUUUGCUGAGCAGCCAAGGCUGGGCUUCCCUUGGAAUUGCUUCCGGAAUGAGAUAUUCAGGGCCAGUCCUUGGCUGUAGUUUCUAGACUUCUCCUCGACAGGGCAGCUCCUUGGUGCAGCUCCUGCUGCACUGCUGGCCCCGGUCUGGCUCUCUUGGUGGCUGUGGCCACCCGUGCCAUUGCAUGGUCCUAACAGUCUCUGUGUAUAUUCAGCUUGCUUCCUGCUGUGGGGCCCCACUCCUACUGCAGAACUCAGCCCCUGGUUCAAUGCUGACCUUUGUACCCCAGUCCCUUAACUACGCAGGCAUCUUCCUGUGUGUGUGGUGUUUUGUAGGUAUACAUCUCUCUUUCAGCAGCUAGCUGAAGUAUGAUUUGCAUACAACAAGCCGCAUUUAUCUAAAGUGUUAUCAGUUGAUAUGUUUUGCCUUUUGCAAAUGACACCAAAAGCAUCACCACAAUCGAGAUAAUAAACAGACCCCCCCAA
Molecule: long non-coding RNA, 3201 nt
Organism: Homo sapiens (human)
Lineage: Eukaryota; Metazoa; Chordata; Mammalia; Primates; Hominidae
Exons: 2
Source: RefSeq, a predicted model, not a curated record